This 1159-nucleotide long non-coding RNA is filed under the name Falco tinnunculus (common kestrel). RNAcentral describes it as "lncRNA (ENSFTIG00000003778.1)". Lineage: Eukaryota; Metazoa; Chordata; Aves; Falconiformes; Falconidae. The record is from RNAcentral.
CAGCGGAGAAACCACACAAGCCUGGACUCUGGGACACUCGGGAGCCCUGUUGGAACCCGGAUCCAAGCAAAACAGGGUGUUGCUGCUGGAAUUACCUUGAUGGCUGGAGCUUUUGGCUCCCUCCGCAAAUGCUGGCCUGGAGCAUGGCACCACGCAACCUCCUGCCCUUGCCAGGAAGGGCAGCCCUGGCUCUGUCCCCUCAGUGCUGUGGGUAGAGUUGUUUCUCUCCCCACAUGCCUCCUUUGCGCAGCCUCCCGUGCCCAGCGCAUUCCAUGGUGGACAGCCAAGGGCAGGGACCAUUGUGUCUCUCCCAGGUGCCAAGAUGCUGUGCUUGGGGCAGCUGAAGCCUGCUCACACAGCCUCUCAGCCAGCCGCUGGGCUGAAACCCUCACAGGUGCCCGUCCUUGCUGCUCUGCUCACCUCUGCUGUGCUCCAUCCCUUCCAAAUGCAGGUGCCAGGCAGGUCAGCAGCGAAGAGCCACACACAACCAGCUUCCAUCCAAGGGGCCUGCUCCCACAGCGCAGAGCCACUGCAUGUCCAGUUUGGCAGCUUUUCACUUGCUCACUUGAGUGAGAAGCCUUGAACAGAGUGGAGCUGAGUUCCUGGCACCCUCAGACAACGUUAAUUUCCCUGGGCAUUUGUACCAGCAGCUGGCACAAACAGGAGCCUUAUCCUGGCUGGACUGUGUCCUGGAACGAACAUGAGAUGAGAAGGGAAACUGAGGGAAGGGGCUGGCAGCCAGUCAGCAAGAGCUGAGCCAAAGCUGUACUCGAAGUCAAGGUUCUCCAGCACCUGGAGCCACGCUGCUGGGGCCAACCCACAGGUCCCCAUCCCCGGGCCCCCAGUGCUGCCCCUCUGCUCUGUAAAGCCACAUGUUCCCAGAGCAGGCAUGGGGGCUGGGGGUCUCUCCUGCCAUGCAUGGGCUGCAGAGCCAACAUGCUGCCUCCCGCAGCCCCCACGCUGCCACGCUCCCACCGUGCCAGGGACACCCCGCCACAGUGGGACCAGCGGGACACCCGCAAAAGAGAUGUGGGAGCCCUUAGAGCAACCUGGCAGCUGAGAGACACUCUCUCUGGUGCUGCCUUCGAUCCGUCUGUUGGCUCCUGUUUGCACUUACCAGCUCUGAGUGGUUUUUAAUUAUUGAUGCCUCUUUUAGCUU